GGUUAAGCGACUAAGCGUACACGGUGGAUGCCCUGGCAGUCAGAGGCGAUGAAGGACGUGCUAAUCUGCGAUAAGCGUCGGUAAGGUGAUAUGAACCGUUAUAACCGGCGAUUUCCGAAUGGGGAAACCCAGUGUGUUUCGACACACUAUCAUUAACUGAAUCCAUAGGUUAAUGAGGCGAACCGGGGGAACUGAAACAUCUAAGUACCCCGAGGAAAAGAAAUCAACCGAGAUUCCCCCAGUAGCGGCGAGCGAACGGGGAGGAGCCCAGAGUCUGAAUCAGUGUGUGUGUUAGUGGAAGCGUCUGGAAAGGCGCGCGAUACAGGGUGACAGCCCCGUACACAAAAAUGCACAUAUUGUGAGCUCGAUGAGUAGGGCGGGACACGUGGUAUCCUGUCUGAAUAUGGGGGGACCAUCCUCCAAGGCUAAAUACUCCUGACUGACCGAUAGUGAACCAGUACCGUGAGGGAAAGGCGAAAAGAACCCCGGCGAGGGGAGUGAAAAAGAACCUGAAACCGUGUACGUACAAGCAGUGGGAGCACGCUUAGGCGUGUGACUGCGUACCUUUUGUAUAAUGGGUCAGCGACUUAUAUUCUGUAGCAAGGUUAACCGAAUAGGGGAGCCGAAGGGAAACCGAGUCUUAACUGGGCGUUAAGUUGCAGGGUAUAGACCCGAAACCCGGUGAUCUAGCCAUGGGCAGGUUGAAGGUUGGGUAACACUAACUGGAGGACCGAACCGACUAAUGUUGAAAAAUUAGCGGAUGACUUGUGGCUGGGGGUGAAAGGCCAAUCAAACCGGGAGAUAGCUGGUUCUCCCCGAAAGCUAUUUAGGUAGCGCCUCGUGAAUUCAUCUCCGGGGGUAGAGCACUGUUUCGGCAAGGGGGUCAUCCCGACUUACCAACCCGAUGCAAACUGCGAAUACCGGAGAAUGUUAUCACGGGAGACACACGGCGGGUGCUAACGUCCGUCGUGAAGAGGGAAACAACCCAGACCGCCAGCUAAGGUCCCAAAGUCAUGGUUAAGUGGGAAACGAUGUGGGAAGGCCCAGACAGCCAGGAUGUUGGCUUAGAAGCAGCCAUCAUUUAAAGAAAGCGUAAUAGCUCACUGGUCGAGUCGGCCUGCGCGGAAGAUGUAACGGGGCUAAACCAUGCACCGAAGCUGCGGCAGCGACGCUUAUGCGUUGUUGGGUAGGGGAGCGUUCUGUAAGCCUGUGAAGGUGUGCUGUGAGGCAUGCUGGAGGUAUCAGAAGUGCGAAUGCUGACAUAAGUAACGAUAAAGCGGGUGAAAAGCCCGCUCGCCGGAAGACCAAGGGUUCCUGUCCAACGUUAAUCGGGGCAGGGUGAGUCGACCCCUAAGGCGAGGCCGAAAGGCGUAGUCGAUGGGAAACAGGUUAAUAUUCCUGUACUUGGUGUUACUGCGAAGGGGGGACGGAGAAGGCUAUGUUGGCCGGGCGACGGUUGUCCCGGUUUAAGCGUGUAGGCUGGUUUUCCAGGCAAAUCCGGAAAAUCAAGGCUGAGGCGUGAUGACGAGGCACUACGGUGCUGAAGCAACAAAUGCCCUGCUUCCAGGAAAAGCCUCUAAGCAUCAGGUAACAUCAAAUCGUACCCCAAACCGACACAGGUGGUCAGGUAGAGAAUACCAAGGCGCUUGAGAGAACUCGGGUGAAGGAACUAGGCAAAAUGGUGCCGUAACUUCGGGAGAAGGCACGCUGAUAUGUAGGUGAAGUCCCUUGCGGAUGGAGCUGAAAUCAGUCGAAGAUACCAGCUGGCUGCAACUGUUUAUUAAAAACACAGCACUGUGCAAACACGAAAGUGGACGUAUACGGUGUGACGCCUGCCCGGUGCCGGAAGGUUAAUUGAUGGGGUCAGCGCAAGCGAAGCUCUUGAUCGAAGCCCCGGUAAACGGCGGCCGUAACUAUAACGGUCCUAAGGUAGCGAAAUUCCUUGUCGGGUAAGUUCCGACCUGCACGAAUGGCGUAAUGAUGGCCAGGCUGUCUCCACCCGAGACUCAGUGAAAUUGAACUCGCUGUGAAGAUGCAGUGUACCCGCGGCAAGACGGAAAGACCCCGUGAACCUUUACUAUAGCUUGACACUGAACAUUGAGCCUUGAUGUGUAGGAUAGGUGGGAGGCUUUGAAGUGUGGACGCCAGUCUGCAUGGAGCCGACCUUGAAAUACCACCCUUUAAUGUUUGAUGUUCUAACGUGGACCCGUGAUCCGGGUUGCGGACAGUGUCUGGUGGGUAGUUUGACUGGGGCGGUCUCCUCCUAAAGAGUAACGGAGGAGCACGAAGGUUGGCUAAUCCUGGUCGGACAUCAGGAGGUUAGUGCAAUGGCAUAAGCCAGCUUGACUGCGAGCGUGACGGCGCGAGCAGGUGCGAAAGCAGGUCAUAGUGAUCCGGUGGUUCUGAAUGGAAGGGCCAUCGCUCAACGGAUAAAAGGUACUCCGGGGAUAACAGGCUGAUACCGCCCAAGAGUUCAUAUCGACGGCGGUGUUUGGCACCUCGAUGUCGGCUCAUCACAUCCUGGGGCUGAAGUAGGUCCCAAGGGUAUGGCUGUUCGCCAUUUAAAGUGGUACGCGAGCUGGGUUUAGAACGUCGUGAGACAGUUCGGUCCCUAUCUGCCGUGGGCGCUGGAGAACUGAGGGGGGCUGCUCCUAGUACGAGAGGACCGGAGUGGACGCAUCACUGGUGUUCGGGUUGUCAUGCCAAUGGCACUGCCCGGUAGCUAAAUGCGGAAGAGAUAAGUGCUGAAAGCAUCUAAGCACGAAACUUGCCCCGAGAUGAGUUCUCCCUGACCCUUUAAGGGUCCUGAAGGAACGUUGAAGACGACGACGUUGAUAGGCCGGGUGUGUAAGCGCAGCGAUGCGUUGAGCUAACCGGUACUAAUGAACCGUGAGGCUUAACCUU
RNAcentral lists this ribosomal RNA (2904 nucleotides) under Escherichia coli O125ac:K+:H10. RNAcentral describes it as "23S ribosomal RNA". It matches the Rfam family "Bacterial large subunit ribosomal RNA". Lineage: Bacteria; Pseudomonadati; Pseudomonadota; Gammaproteobacteria; Enterobacterales; Enterobacteriaceae. The record is from RNAcentral.